RNAcentral lists this ribosomal RNA (303 nucleotides) under uncultured bacterium. RNAcentral describes it as "partial 16S ribosomal RNA". It matches the Rfam family "Bacterial small subunit ribosomal RNA", at positions 507 to 808 of the family's 1533-position model. The record is from RNAcentral.
AGCAGUAGCCGCGGUAAUACGUAGGUCCCGAGCGUUGUCCGGAUUUAUUGGGCGUAAAGCGAGCGCAGGCGGUUUGAUAAGUCUGAAGUUAAAGGCUGUGGCUCAACCAUAGUUCGCUUUGGAAACUGUCAAACUUGAGUGCAGAAGGGGAGAGUGGAAUUCCAUGUGUAGCGGUGAAAUGCGUAGAUAUAUGGAGGAACACCGGUGGCGAGAGCGGCUCUCUGGCUUGCAACUGACGCUGAGGCUCGAAAGCGUGGGGAGCAAACAGGAUUAGAUACCCGCGUAGUCCCUGUCUCUUAUACC